UACGUAGGGGGCAAGCGUUAUCCGGAUUUACUGGGUGUAAAGGGAGCGUAGGCGGCUCGAUAAGUCUGAUGUGAAAGCCCGGGGCUCAACCCCGGGACUGCAUUGGAAACUAUCGAGCUAGAGUGUGGGAGAGGUAAGUGGAAUUCCUAGUGUAGCGGUGAAAUGCGUAGAUAUUAGGAGGAACACCAGUGGCGAAGGCGGCUUACUGGACCAUAACUGACGCCGAGGCUCGAAAGCGUGGGGAGCAAACAGG
This 253-nucleotide ribosomal RNA is filed under the name uncultured bacterium. RNAcentral's name for it is "partial 16S ribosomal RNA". It matches the Rfam family "Bacterial small subunit ribosomal RNA", at positions 524 to 776 of the family's 1533-position model. The record is from RNAcentral.